This 396-nucleotide ribosomal RNA is filed under the name uncultured bacterium. RNAcentral's name for it is "bacterial SSU rRNA". It matches the Rfam family "Bacterial small subunit ribosomal RNA", at positions 28 to 429 of the family's 1533-position model. The record is from RNAcentral.
GACGAACGCUGGCGGCGUGCUUAACACAUGCAAGUCGAGCGGUAAGGCCCUUUCGGGGGUACACGAGCGGCGAACGGGUGAGUAACACGUGGGUGACCUGCCCUCAGCUCUGGGAUAAGCCUGGGAAACUGGGUCUAAUACCGGAUAUGACUCCAUGACGCAUGUUGUGGGGUGGAAAGCCUUGUGCGGCUGAGGAUGGGCCCGCGGCCUAUCAGCUUGUUGGUGGGGNGAUGGCCUACCAAGGCGACGACGGGUAGCCGGCCUGAGAGGGCGACCGGCCACACUGGGACUGAGACGCGGCCCAGACUCCUACGGGAGGCAGCAGUGGGGAAUAUUGCGCAAUGGGCGGAAGCCUGACGCAGCGACGCCGCGUGAAGGAUGACGGCCUGGUGUAAC